Molecule: ribosomal RNA, 253 nt
Filed under: uncultured bacterium
Lineage: Bacteria
Description: partial 16S ribosomal RNA
Rfam family: Bacterial small subunit ribosomal RNA
Source: RNAcentral
UACAGAGGGGGCAAGCGUUAUUCGGAAUUAUUGGGCGUAAAGGGCGCGUAGGCGGCGAUUCAAGUGACGGGUGAAAUCCCUCGGCUUAACCGAGGAACUGCCUGUCAGACUGGAUUGCUUGAGGCCGGGAGAGGCGAGUGGAAUUCCCAGUGUAGCGGUGAAAUGCGUAGAUAUUGGGAGGAACACCAGUGGCGAAGGCGGCUCGCUGGACCGGUUCUGACGCUGAGGCGCGAAAGCGUGGGGGGCAAACAGG